CUAGCCACAAGACAUUUGAAGAGAGUACAGACAGUGAAUCUCCGUCUUCUUCCACAUUGCUCAUCUUGCAAAAUUGAACUCGUUGACUAAAGUGCCGCCAAAUGAGAUGGCAGUGUAAAGUCUGUGGAUUCAGAGCGACAACAAGUGACCUUCUGCACCAUUACAGACUACAGCACAGGACGUUUGAGAUUGGAAAUUCAGUACCUUGUCUCGAUUAUGAUUGUCCAUGCUCCUUUAAAACAUUAAGUGCCCUCCACACACAUUUGUCAAGAUAUCAUGCAGAGGAUAAAGCUAAGGGGACAGACGUAGUCCUCUCUUUCACGUGUUAUUUGCUCAGCUAAAUAUCCUACUGAAAAAUAAUAUUUCCAAAAGCUCUGCAAUCACCGAAAGAGUCAUGUUUGUGCACAAAAGCAGAAAGCACAACCAUCAUUCACUUGAAGACUUGAAGCCAGAUGUCAUUGGUGAACACCAAACUUUACCAAAUGAAAGCUAUCCUUUAGUCCCAGGUGAUAGUGAUGAUAGUGAUACCAGUAUAAAUCCUCCAUUGGAUAUAUCAAAUGAAAUUCACCAAAGAAUUGGCUCACUUCUCUUGAAGUUGGAAAGUGUGCACCACGUUUCUGGUAAAUGUAUUGAUGAUUUGGUGGAGGAGCGUCAUUUUACAUACACGGCUUCUGCUCCAGCAAUUCGUCAGCUUGUCAAUGCAAGUUUGAAAAGGUGUAAUUGUGCUGUGGAGGAGGACAUUGUUAACAAAUUGGUGGUGGAACUAUGCAAGUCACACCCUACAAGCAAGGUACUGGGAGAAGAUGGGCCCUCUGGGUCAGUUUUAUACUAAGACACUAACAAUUUAAUGUUGCAGGACACUGAGAACUUGGAGGAACUUGGAACAGCUCAUAAUGGCCAUUACUGUGACCCCAAAGCCUGGAGCUUCUACAAGCAACAGCCCAAAGAACAUUGGAAUCGUCAUAGAGGGCGUGGAAGUCAUCACGGGACUUUGAGAUAUUGCAAGGGCUUGCUCUGUCCUCCUUGGCUUGACCUAUGCGCUGAAUCUCAAUUAUCCAGACAGCUGAAGUACACCUUUGAGGUAUUCCAAAAACUUUUCUUGUUACUGGAUGAUUCAAAGCUGUCAAACAAUGUCCAGUCCCUCAAGAGCAAACUUCUGGCUUGAAAUAAGACUGGUUGCAGAGCAAAAUGUUGUGCUACACAAUGUCCAGCUUCUACAGAGCUUGAGAAUUGCAGAUUUGAAAGUGUUACGUUUUUAAGUUGGCACUGAUUUGUCCCACGAAUGUUAUGACAUUUUACAUUUUUGUAAGUUCAAAAUACAAAGGUAUUUUACUUUGUA
Molecule: long non-coding RNA, 1339 nt
Organism: Esox lucius (northern pike)
Lineage: Eukaryota; Metazoa; Chordata; Actinopteri; Esociformes; Esocidae
Exons: 2
Source: RefSeq, a predicted model, not a curated record